AACAAAAUAGUUAAAACUAAUAAUAUUAGAUUGUCAUUCUGAAGUUACCUUAAGAGGUUUUUGUUU
Molecule: transfer RNA, 66 nt
Filed under: Perna perna
Lineage: Eukaryota; Metazoa; Mollusca; Bivalvia; Mytilida; Mytilidae
Description: tRNA-Asp
Source: RNAcentral